UCGAUUGAGUUUGAUCAUGGCUCAGGACGAACGCUGGCGGCGUGCCUAACACAUGCAAGUGGAGCGACGAACCAGGCUUCGGCCUGGGGCAAAGCCGCGAACGGGUGAGUAACACGUGGGUUACCUGCCCCGAUGAUCGGGACAACCCGAGGAAACUCGGGCUAAUACCGAAUGUGCCCUCCGGCCACAAGGCCGCUGGGGAAAGGAAGCUUCGGCCUCCGCAUCGGGAUGGGCCCGCGGCCCAUUAGCUUGUUGGUGAGGUAACGGCUCACCAAGGCGACGAUGGGUAGCUGGUCUGAGAGGACGAUCAGCCAUACUGGGACUGAGACACGGCCCAGACUCCUACGGGAGGCAGCAGUGGGGAAUCUUGCGCAAUGCGCGAAAGCGUGACGCAGCAACGCCGCGUGGGGGAAGACGGCCUUCGGGUUGUAAACCCCUUUCAGUAGGGACGAAGCUUCGUCGGUGAACAGCCGGCUGGAGUGACGGUACCUUCAGAAGAAGCCCCGGCUAACUACGUGCCAGCAGCCGCGGUAAUACGUAGGGGGCAAGCGUUGUCCGGAAUCAUUGGGCAUAAAGAGCGUGUAGGCGGCUCGGUAAGUCCGCUGUGAAAGUCCAGGGCUCAACCCUGGAAUGCCAGUGGAAACUGUCGAGCUAGAGUCCGGAAGANGCGAGUGGAAUUCCUGGUGUAGCGGUGAAAUGCGCAGAUAUCAGGAGGAACACCAAUGGCGAAGGCAGCUCGCUGGGACGGUACUGA
This 754-nucleotide ribosomal RNA is filed under the name uncultured bacterium. RNAcentral describes it as "bacterial SSU rRNA". It matches the Rfam family "Bacterial small subunit ribosomal RNA", at positions 1 to 743 of the family's 1533-position model. The record is from RNAcentral.